ACAUGCAAGUCGAACGACGCCGGACCUUNGGGUCCAAUGGUCGAGUGGCGAACGGGUGAGUAACACGUGAGAAACCUGCCCCGGAGACCGGGACAACCAGGGGAAACCCUGGCUAAUACCGGAUGCCCUCAGAUGGUCGCAUGGCCGACUGAGGAAAUGCUCUGGCGCUCUGGGAGGGUCUCGCGACCUAUCAGCUGGUUGGUGGGGUAACGGCCUACCAAGGCAUUGACGGGUAGCUGGUCUGAGAGGACGAUCAGCCACACUGGGACUGAGACACGGCCCANACUCCUACGGGAGGCANCAGUGGGGAAUAUUGCGCAAUGGGCGAAAGCCUGACGCANCAACGCCGCGUGGGGGAUGACGGCUUUCGGGUUGUAAACCCCUUUCAGUGAUGACGAGAAUGACGGUAAUCACANAANAAAGCCCCGGCCAACUACGUGCCAACAGCCGCGGUAACACCGUAUGGGGCUAAGCGUUAUCCGGAUUUAUUGGGCCGUAAA
RNAcentral lists this ribosomal RNA (500 nucleotides) under uncultured bacterium. Its description in RNAcentral is "bacterial SSU rRNA". It matches the Rfam family "Bacterial small subunit ribosomal RNA", at positions 53 to 564 of the family's 1533-position model. RNAcentral also lists the same sequence under 1 other name. The record is from RNAcentral.